This 514-nucleotide long non-coding RNA is filed under the name Elaeis guineensis (African oil palm). RNAcentral describes it as "long non-coding RNA (EGUI_LNC064645)". Lineage: Eukaryota; Viridiplantae; Streptophyta; Magnoliopsida; Arecales; Arecaceae. The record is from RNAcentral.
UCCGUAGCUUACCAGGCUCCAGGAUUCUCUCGCCCCUCUACUCAUGCCGGUACUUCUAUCCAUGGUCGAGGCAGACGUGUCGAGGUCGUGUCUGUGGAUUUGAUCUUAUAUCUCCUCAUCAUAUCUUUGACUCUUCAGAUUCUGAUCCCUCUAGCCAUGAUAUCUAUUAGAUCUAGAAUAGUUAUUUUUUUUUAUUUUUGCCUAAGAUCUAUCUUAUGGCCUUUGUAUUUUGUUGGCUGAUUGACUCUUGGAUAGUUGUUAUCUAUGAUUUUUGUAUGAUCUAUGUAUUUUGACUUAAUGUAUUCAAUUACAUUUUGAUAUAUAUAUAUUUUUUUAUGCUUUAAAUUUCAAUGAAUGUCUUUGGAUUAAUGUUUAUGAAUGGGAUCAAUUAAAAUAUUUUAAUUAUAAGAUAUGAAAAAUGACUCAUAUAUGUGUGAUGAAAUAUCAUGAAUAGCAAUAUCUUCUAAAUGAGCAAAUUGAUAUAUCUUUUAUUAUUGCUAUAGUGAGGGGGAGU